GAGGAAAUGGAAACUGAAGCAUGUUGUACAUACAUUUUGUGUGAGAAGAACCUGCAAGGUCAAAGUACAUGUCAGAAAGCAGCAAAGUCAUUCAUUUAACAUCUUUUACUGACAUUUCUGAAUGUCUCAAGCCCCAGCUGGAUAGAAGAUACGCUUAUACAGAAGAACCUAGGGUUAAAACCGUGUCAGAUGUUGGUGCCUUGGGAGGAUCUGACAUGGAAAAUUUGUUGCAAUCUUUGUAUGUAGAAAAUAGAGCUGGAUUCUUCUUUACUAAAUUCUGCGAGCAUUCAGGGAACAAGUUGUGGAAGAACAGUGUGUACUUUUGGUUUGACCUGCAGGCUUAUCAUCAGCUUUUCUACCAAGAAACACUUCAGCCUUUUAAAGUAUGCAAGCAAGCGCAAGUACGUAGUAAAUAAUAUUGGUUCAAUGUGAAGCACUAAGUACACAGAGAAAUGAAAAUUGUGUCCAGUCCCAAACGAGAAAUCUGGGAUCGCAGGCAAAAAGGCAGCAAUUAAAUUGUUGCCAUGGGAUUACUGUAUUUGAAAUCAGCAAAAUAUUGUUUUAUAAUAUGAUUUGUGAGUUUUCAGUUUUAUGUCUUUUAUUUGGUUUGCUUUAUUUUCUCUUGCCAACUACUUGUUCUUCUGAUAAAGAACAUCUCUCUCUCUUUUUUUUCUAAUGUAUACCUUUUUGGUUUGGUUUUGAGUGAUUUAAAAGAAGACCCCGAGAAUGGACAUGUAAUGAAUCAUUGAAGUGAUGGGGAACAGAGACAUUGACCAAUGUUGCUCUCUGAGCUUCCUGCAGAUAUCAGC
RNAcentral lists this long non-coding RNA (809 nucleotides) under Homo sapiens (human). RNAcentral's name for it is "non-protein coding lnc-FBXO43-5:1". The record is from RNAcentral. Lineage: Eukaryota; Metazoa; Chordata; Mammalia; Primates; Hominidae.